This 468-nucleotide ribosomal RNA is filed under the name uncultured bacterium. RNAcentral describes it as "partial 16S ribosomal RNA". It matches the Rfam family "Bacterial small subunit ribosomal RNA", at positions 28 to 507 of the family's 1533-position model. The record is from RNAcentral.
GACGAACGCUGGCGGCGUGCUUAACACAUGCAAGUCGAACGGACAGGCGCUGCUCUUGUGGGGUGCUCGAGUGGCGAACGGGUGAGUAACACGUGAGUAACCUGCCCUUGACUUUGGGAUAACUUCAGGAAACUGGGGCUCAUACAGGAGAGGAGCUACUGCUGCACGGUGGGGGUUGGAAAGUUUCGGCGGUUGGGGAUGGUAUAGCGGCUUAUCAGCUUGUUGGUGGGGUAGUGGUUUACAAAGGCUUUGACGGGUAGCCGGCCUGGGAGGGGGGACGGGGACAUUGGGACUGAGGUACGGAGCAGACGGCAACCUUAGGCAGCGGGCGAGAGCCUUGCAGAGCAAGGGGAAGCGUGUGGCAGCAGCGUCGGGUUCGUGAAGCCGGGUUACGGGUGGUGAACCGCUUUGUCCUUUGACGAGGCGGUAGUGACGGUAACGGAUAAAAAAGCAACGGCUAACUACGUG